Molecule: long non-coding RNA, 1683 nt
Organism: Salmo trutta (river trout)
Lineage: Eukaryota; Metazoa; Chordata; Actinopteri; Salmoniformes; Salmonidae
Source: Ensembl
AUGAAUAUAUUCAUAUUGGUAGGAAAUACUAGAAUCUUCCCACUGGCCUCUCAAUAUCUCAUUCUCAUAUCUUGCACACACACACUUACUGCUCUUCAUUGGUCUGAUCUUUCUCAGCAUCUCAUCACCAUUCUCCUCAGACUCGGUCGACCUGGACACAGGAAACAGUCACACACUGUUCUGUUCCCCUACACCACCACCACAUGCUGUGGUCACUACACUGUUCUGUUCCCCUACACCACCACCACCACAUGCUGUGGUCACUACACUGUUCUGUUCCCCUACACCACCACCACAUGCUGUGGUCACUACACUGUUCUGUUCCCCUACAGCACCACCACAUGCUGUGGUCACUACACUGUUCUGUUCCCCUACAGCACCACCACAUGCUGUGGUCACUACACUGUUCUGUUCCCCUACACCACCACCACAUGCUGUGGUCACUACACUGUUCUGUUCCCCUACACCACCACCACCACAUGCUGUGGUCACUACACUGUUCUGUUCCCCUACACCACCACCACAUGCUGUGGUCACUACACUGUUCUGUUCCCCUACAGCACCACCACAUGCUGUGGUCACUACACUGUUCUGUUCCCCUACACCACCACCACAUGCUGUGGUCACUACACUGUUCUGUUCCCCUACACCACCACAUGCUGUGGUCACUACACUGUUCUGUUCCCCUACACCACCACCACAUGCUUUGGUCACUACACUGUUCUGUUCCCCUACACCACCACCACAUGCUGUGGUCACUACACUGUUCUGUUCCCCUACAGCACCACCACAUGCUGUGGUCACUACACUGUUCUGUUCCCUUACACCCCCACCACAUGCUGUGGUCACUACACUGUUCUGUUCCCCUACAGCACCACCACAUGCUGUGGUCACUACACUGUUCUGUUCCCCUACACCACCACCACCACAUGCUGUGAUCACUACACUGUUCUGUUCCCCUACACCACCACCACCACAUGCUGUGAUCACUACACUGUUCUGUUCCCCUACACCACCACCACAUGCUGUGGUCACUACACUGUUCUGUUCCCCUACAUCACCACCACAUGCUGUGGUCACUACACUGUUCUGUUCCCCUACACCACCACCACAUGCUGUGGUCACUACACUGUUCUGUUCCCCUACACCACCACCACAUGCUGUGGUCACUUCACUGUUCUGUUCCCCUACACCACCACCACAUGCUGUGGUCACUACACUGUUCUGUUCCCCUACACCACCACCACAUGCUGUGGUCACUACACAGUUCUGUUCCCCUACACCACCACCACAUGCUGUGGUCACUACACUGUUCUGUUCCCCUACACCACCACCACAUGCUGUGGUCACUACACUGUUCUGUUCCCCUACACCACCACCACAUGCUGUGGUCACUACACUGUUCUGUUCCCCUACACCACCACCACAUGCUGUGGUCACUACACUGUUCUGUUCCCCUACACCCCCACCACAUGCUGUGGUCACUACACUGUUCUGUUCCCCUACACCACCACCACAUGCUGUGGUCACUACACUGUUCUGUUCCCCUACACCACCACCACAUGCUGUGGUCACUACACUGUUCUGUUUCCCUACACCACCACCACCACCACCACAUGCUGUGGUCACUACACUGUUCUACAUUAAUUUCACAGGUCAUGAAAAUUAUGCUAUAGAAUAAAA